Daphnia pulex (common water flea) is the source of this 1450-nucleotide RNA transcript. RefSeq lists it as uncharacterized. The transcript has 6 exons. The record is from RefSeq and is a predicted model, not a curated record. NCBI's taxonomy places the organism in Eukaryota, Metazoa, Arthropoda, Branchiopoda, Diplostraca, Daphniidae.
UUCAACAAACUGUUUCACGCGAGAAGCCCUCUAUAUUUUUUGUAGCAGCAACAGGUAUAGUUGUGCUCACUAUAGAGUUUUAGACCUACUCUAUAAGCACAACGUGAGGUUUGUGAGUCUAAUAUCUGAUGUGCUUGGCUUAAACUGUGUUCUCUUUUCAUCCAAAUGAGAAGCCCUUUCCCGUUGAGAAAAUAUUCCUGUUGCUCGCUGCAACGGGCCACCAAGAUAGUUGGCUUCAUAUACUUGAUAUUUGGAUUGGCAGGAAUUGGAAUUGUAUUACUAUCCCCCGUGACGUCUUCAUAUGACAACUUCUCCGAUAAUAUACCUAUUACUAAUAACACGGAUGAUAAUCAAGACAGUGCAUGUGCAUCAGAUACCACAAUAUGGCGAGCCAUAGUGCACCACGGUCCAUGGUUGACUGUCCAGUUCGUCGUUUCGAUCCUAACUUCUGUGUUCGCCAUUUUUGUUCUGAUCGCCGCCUGUAUGAAUAGUACGCCCUGGCUACUUUGGCCUUGGCUGAUUUUUCAAUCCUUAUUCGCGAUGAUUGGAUUUAUCUACACGGGAUACUCUGCCGUUUGGUAUUGGUGGGAUUGUGACAUUCCUAUGGGAAUAGGUUACUCUGUAGCAUGUUUUUUUAUAGCAGUUAUAGGCUUCAUCUGUUUCAAAGUGAUCAACAACUACUCUAAAGAAUUGAGAGAAGCUGAAGAAAAUAAUAAGGAAAAUUCUUCUCGAGAAAAAAGGGAAAUCAUUCCUAAGCCCGAUGAUAGAAAUGCAAAUAACGGUGAGAACGUAAUGUUGGAAUAUGAUAACUUGCUAUAGUUGCUAAUGUUGGAAACAUAAUCUGAUCCUUGCUUCGCGCAAGAGUUUCCUUUUAAAAAGCGGCCAGCGACCUGUUGUCAUCAGCCCAGAAUUUUUUACCCUAAAACCUGUAAAACUGUGAUGUCUUGAUUCCGUUGUCGCCAACUGUCAUUACCAUUCUCUUUUUUUUUUACAAGGAAUAAUGAAUGUUUAUCAGAGUGCAGCAGUCUUACGUCCUAUGGAGAAUUGAACUGUCUGCAAAAAGCCUAAAUUACCAAAUCAUUUUGAAGAUUUUUUCACAAAUUUGCUACGGGCUUGAGGAUUGAUGAGUAAAUACAUCCGGUGAUUUUAAUUCAUCGAGGUAUGAAGCCGGAGAAUGUACUCUCAGUCCGAUUCCAGCACUAGGAAAGACGUUUAGGUAUAACAGUUUGCCCAGGACAGUGAAUAAUAAGUGAGGGACGUUUACGAUGAGUAAACCAAGAGGAACAAGGAUCUGGACGACCGCAGCCCAAAGCUACCGUCAAAAGCGACAUAUUUGCAGUGUACCUCGUCUUCGUUUUCUUUUUAAGCGGAGCAACACAUUUACGGUUCUACGAAAAGCGUUGGAACGCCCAAGUAUCCACCGGAAAGUAAACGAAAAAUUGAUAGCAAC